Long non-coding RNA from Cyprinus carpio carpio, 3315 nucleotides. The record is from Ensembl. Lineage: Eukaryota; Metazoa; Chordata; Actinopteri; Cypriniformes; Cyprinidae.
GUGUUUGCAUAUUUGGAUUUUCAUCCAAAUGAGAUGAGAAGGAGCAUCUCAAGGGGUUUUCCCUUUCAUAAAAUUCAUAUUCAAAUGCAAAAUUCCCCAGACGAAGUUCCCAUGGAAAGUUUCCAGGAAAUUUUCUGCUCGAUUGUAACCCUAGUAGAAGCUCAUGCAAAUGUAAAAACAGACAGGCUGCGUGACAUCCUUAUACUUAAAAACCAUAAACAAAAUUACAAAACCACUUCCCAUUAAAUUCCUGCAUCUAUACAUCUCCAUCAGAAGACAAAAUUCAUACAAGCACAAGACUCACUGCAGAGGAACCAGUGUCCAGCGAGGAGCAUCUCAGCUGAGCACGAAACGAAAAAGAAAACCAUCAAGAUCAUUUAGUACACUUACAGUAGAACAAGAAGAAAUGAACAUACAAAUACCAACACCAGCAGUAGCAGUGACUGGGGUCUCCGUUCAGCCUGCUGUAUCGGUGGUUCAGCCCGCUGUAACGUAUGUUCAGCCCGCAGUAUCGGUGGUUCAGCCUGCUGUGAUCAUGAGUCCAAUGCCAGUGGUUGCUGCAGUACCAGAUUACUUGGGCUACUCCAUCUUUACCAUGCUGUGCUGCUGUUUACCUCUGGGCAUCGUUGCUACCAUCUUCUCAUGCAACACUCGAGAUGCUAACUUGUCUGGACAGCGAGAGUUAGCGAUGAGCCACUCCAGAAUUGCAUUUAUCCUGAACAAUGUGGCUCUCGGUAUCGGCCUCACAGUCAUAACAGUGGUCAUUAUCAUUCGUUUUACAGUUCUUUGAACAACAUCGUUGAACAGAUGUUUUAUUCUGCUUCAAAUGCAUCUACUUAUACUGUCAAUGAUACCGUCAACUCAAAUCAAUGAUUUUGUGGAAGAAAUGAAAAAUAUUUUCCAGACCCUCUGAAGGGAAUGAUCUAAUGUACGCUUAUGUUUUAUUUCUUUUUGUAUUUAAUGCUGGCAGACUGAUCUGUUUGAUUAGCAGUCGGUUUGAUUUACUGCUUUUCACUUAAUCCUGGUAAAUUACACAUUAAAAUACAGCACUGCACUAAAAACAUUAAUUGUUCUGGUCAUCUAUAGGGGCUUUCACACUGGAGGAACCUUUUCAUAGUUCCUAGAACUAUUGGCGGAAAAACUCUCACUUUUUGGCAUCAAACUUAUUGUUCUAGGAUCUCCGUUUGGGGGAAUUAAAUAGGGGAUAAUUGCAAUGACUUCUGUAUUCUUUUAAACAGGUCUCACCGCUUCAGGUUCAAGCGUUUUGCAUAUGCAUCAUUAAAUAUGAAGUUGUUUUACUCAAGAUUCAUUCAAAAGUACAAGCAAAUAAAUGAUCAUAACCAAUGUCCAUCACAUACUGUAUAAGGAUUGAAUCUAAAAGUUGUUUAUUUUUAUUCUUUUCACUAACAUUUAAAUAUACAAAUUUAAUAAAAUGUUAACAAUAAAAAUAGCUUGCUAGUUUAACUGAAAUCUGUAGAUAUCGCCAUUAUUUAAUAUGGGUGUUAACACAUUUUCUGAGAGCUACGGCUUGACCGCUGCACCUCAUGCAGAACCAGAGAAAAAAUGGUUGCACUACCAGUAUGUAGUUAAGCAGUUAUUUCGUAAUAUAUAUGAUUUAAAAUUUGUGUAAUUGACUUUUGCCAAUGUAGAUGUCUUUAUACAAAAGUGAUGUGAACAUAAACACGCAGCACGGAGUUAGAUAUCUAGGCUAUCCGUGUAAUAACAACAUAAAGAAAUUAUUUUAAAGUGUAAUAAUAACUAGGUCUGUGAAUCUUUGGGUAGACAGCGAAUUGAUUCGAUUCACGAUUCAUAUGUUUUCGAAUCGAUUCAAGAAAGAUAUUUGCAAAUUCAGAAAGAUUCACAAUUAUUCAAUUAUAUCAAUAAUUCGAUUCGAUUCGAUUCGAUUAACGAUUCGAUUCAGCAUUCUUUAAGUGCAUUCACAGCAUUAUUUAAAUGCUUAGUUGGGGGCAAAUUACACAACAGCCUUUAUGGUUAGAGAACCAUAGGUUACGGGGGGCGGAAAAAAAAACAAACAAACACUUUUGUCCAUUGUUAGAUGCCAUUUUAAUGAUGCUAUGGCAUGACAUGGCAUACAUGUACAGUAUGUAGAAAUUUAUGUAAGCCAAGAUUUUAAAUGAGAGCUUUAAAAGUAUUGUGUAUAGGCUAACAUUUAGUCACACCAGGGGUGUAGCCAUCAUUUCAGAAGCGACAGAAAUGUCAAAUACAAUAAUUUUAUGUAUGUAUUUUAUUAUUAUUUUUAAUUUAUUAUUUUCUUAUCUCUUACUUUUCUUAUCACUGCUGGACAUUAAUCAAUUAUUUUUGAUCUAUAUGUUUUUUUUUUCCCCAGUGGCAUUUUUAUGAUUGUUUUAUAUACUACAAACAAUUAUUUAAAUUUUCUGCACAGAAUAAGGUAAAAAAUAUACUUUAUAGUAAUAAAUGAUAUUUCAAUUAGCACUGCAACAUUCAUAAAUUUUAUUUAUUUAUUGUGUUUAUUGUUUAUAUUUAUAAGGAAAGAAUUCAAUCAUGCCAUGCUAUGAGCAGAAGCAGACUAAGCCGCUCUGCGAGCCGAGUUCUGGAGUACUUAUGUUAAGGGCCCCUAGAGAACAUAAGCCAACUGAGUACUGAGCGUAGCUAAGGACUUUGGACAUAGCUAUUUCCACCAUAGGGAGAAAUAAUUCAAUUCAAUUCAAGUUUAUUUGUAUAGUGCUUUUCAUGAUACAAAUCGCUCCAAAGAAACUUUACAGAAAAUUAAGUUUCUACAAUAUAUUUAGUAGUAGCUUAUCAGUGGUGACUGUCAGUUAAUGUACAUGGCAGAAAUGCAUGGAAAAAUCAAUUAAAGACGUUAUCAAACAGACAAUGAACACUAAUAACAGCAAUUAUUAUAUGUUGCAAUUGAACUUAUAGCAAAAUUUGGUAGUUCUGUAUGUUGUUUCAGGUUUGGCAUCAUCUGAGGUCCUCUGAGGGGUUGGCAUCAUCUCUUCUCAUGUGUUCUGGAUCCAGACUGAAGCUUGUGUAAAUCUUAGUUGCAAAAACAGAGAAACAAAUAGAGACAUAAUUAGCGUAGCUGCUGUUCCAACCAAGCAAAAAUGAUUUGUUCAACCCAAGCUAAGGAAUAACAAUGUGUAUUUGAUCAGAUAUAACUGCAGUACAAGAUUGUGAGAUGCAUUAUUUGAAUGCUUGGCCAAAGAGAUGUGUCUUUAAUCUAGAUUUAAACAGAGAAAGUGUCUCUCGGUUUAAGACUGAGUGCAUUACAAUAGUCCAGUCUAGAGGUCUUGAAUGCAUAAACUAGUUUUUUUGCAUCAGAAACAGAUAACA